UUCAACAUUGGAUAUUUUCCAAAUUGGAAUUGUCAGAUUUACUCCACAGGUCAAUGUUCCUGAUCAGUAAACUAUACCCAAUCAAGCACAAAGU
Molecule: long non-coding RNA, 94 nt
Organism: Amblyraja radiata (thorny skate)
Lineage: Eukaryota; Metazoa; Chordata; Chondrichthyes; Rajiformes; Rajidae
Exons: 3
Source: RefSeq, a predicted model, not a curated record